GAUGAAGAACGCAGCGAAAUGCGAUAAGUAGUGUGAAUUGCAGAAUUCCGUGAAUCAUCGAAUCUUUGAACGCACAUUGCGCCCUUUGGCCAUUCCAUUGGGCAUGCCUGUUCGAGCGUCAUUUAAACCUUCAAGCCCUGCUUGGUGUUGGGUGCCUGUCCCGCCCCCGCGCGUGGACUCACCUCAAAUCCAUUGGCGGCCCCCGCAAGGCCACGAGCGCAGCAGAAACGCAAACUCGUGUGCCCGGCGGGCGGCUCCCAGAAGCUACACCCACCAGUUUGACCUCGGAUCAGGUAGGGAUACCCGCUGAACUUAAGCAUAUCAAUAAGCGGAGGA
Molecule: unclassified non-coding RNA, 336 nt
Filed under: soil metagenome
Description: partial contains 5.8S ribosomal RNA, internal transcribed spacer 2, and large subunit ribosomal RNA
Rfam family: 5.8S ribosomal RNA (bases 1-121)
Source: RNAcentral